AGCAGCCGCGGUAAAUUCCAGCUCCAAUAGCGUAUAUUAAAGUUGUUGCAGUUAAAAAGCUCGUAGUUGAAUUUCGGGGUUUAUCCGUUGGUCGGGCUUUUGGGUCUGUACUGGCGUGAUGGAUUCCUACCUUCUGAAUAACCAGCAUGUCAUUAAUUUGGUGCGUUGGGGAAGCAGGACUGUUACCUUGAAAAAAUUAGAGUGCUUAAAGCAGGCUAUUGCCUGAAUACAUUAGCAUGGAAUAAUGAAAUAGGACGCAUGGUUCUAUUUUGUUGGUUUCUAGGAUCACCGUAAUGAUUAAUAGGGAUAGUUGGGGGCAUUAGUAUUCAAUUGUCAGAGGUGAAAUUCUUGGAUUUAUUGAAGACUAACUUCUGCGAAAGCAUUUGCCAAGGAUGUUUUC
This 400-nucleotide ribosomal RNA is filed under the name uncultured Glomeromycotina. Its description in RNAcentral is "SSU rRNA". It matches the Rfam family "Eukaryotic small subunit ribosomal RNA", at positions 569 to 971 of the family's 1831-position model. The record is from RNAcentral. Lineage: Eukaryota; Fungi; Glomeromycota.